Molecule: ribosomal RNA, 252 nt
Filed under: uncultured bacterium
Lineage: Bacteria
Description: partial 16S ribosomal RNA
Rfam family: Bacterial small subunit ribosomal RNA
Source: RNAcentral
UACGUAGGGGCAAGCGUUGUCCGGAUUUAUUGGGCGUAAAGAGCGUGUAGGCGGCCAGGUAGGUCUGCUGUGAAAACUCGAGGCUUAACCUCGAGCUGUCGGCGGAAACCAUCUGGCUAGAGUCCGGAAGAGGAGAAUGGAAUUCCCGGUGUAGCGGUGAAAUGCGCAGAUAUCGGGAAGAACACCCGUGGCGAAGGCGGUUCUCUGGGACGGUACUGACGCUGAGACGCGAAAGCGUGGGGAGCGAACAGG